UAGGCCUUAGCUUAAUUAAAGUAUUUGAGUUGCAUUCAGAAGAUGUAUAAGAGGUUAUACAGGUCUUA
Molecule: transfer RNA, 68 nt
Filed under: Takydromus intermedius
Lineage: Eukaryota; Metazoa; Chordata; Lepidosauria; Squamata; Lacertidae
Description: tRNA-Ala
Source: RNAcentral